Molecule: ribosomal RNA, 442 nt
Filed under: uncultured bacterium
Lineage: Bacteria
Description: partial 16S ribosomal RNA
Rfam family: Bacterial small subunit ribosomal RNA
Source: RNAcentral
CCUACGGGUGGCAGCAGUGGGGAAUAUUGGGCAAUGGGCGCAAGCCUGACCCAGCAACGCCGCGUGAAGGAAGAAGGCUCUCGGGUUGUAAACUUCUUUUGACAGGGAAGAGUAGUAGACGGUACUUGUCGAUUAAGCCAUGGCUAAUUACGGGCCAGCAGCCGCGGGAAUACGUAGGUGGCAAGUGUUGUCCGGAUUUACUGGGUGUAAAGGGCGUGUAGCCGGGUUGACAAGUCAGAUGUGAAAUCCUGCGGCUUAACCGCAGAACUGCAUUUGAAACUGUUGGUCUUGAGUACUGGAGAGGCAGACGGAAUUCGUGGUGUAGCGGUGAAAUGCGUAGAUAUUAGGAGGAACACCAGUGGCGAAGGCAGUCUGCUGGACAGCAACUGACGGUGAGGCGCGAAAGCGUGGGGAGCAAACAGGAUUAGAUACCCUUGUAGUC